GUAUAACAGGGGCAGUUUCUGAGGAAGAGUACCCAUCUGAAAGGGAAUUGCAUCUUAGGACCCUCUGGCGAAAGUUAUACUCAAAAUCUUUUAGCAAAGCAUUAGUAAAGAAAUGAGAAUGCCUAAAAACUUAUUGAACACCACCUGUAGAAUCAAGAAAGAGCGUUGUCAAUCCUUACCAUGUCUGGACCUGGUGAGUUUCCCCGUGUUGAGUCAAAUUAAGCCGCAGACUCCUUGCAAUUUUAUACUUUUUUAGGGCCCUCGCAGGUCUUGCAAAAAAAAGUUUGAGCCUUGCAACCCCUUGAAAAUGGCCCUGUGAUAUCACAUUAACGUCAUAAAAAAAAACUUAAGUUCUUGGAUUUGAAACAGAAACGAAGCAUUUUUCUUUAUUAUCCUAUUCAACAACUUCACUUUGCUUGUUUGCUAGUGGCUGAUUUUAGCACUUAAUAGAGGGAAAUCAAUUAUACUCUUGGAGUUCUUAUGUGUAAGUAUAAAUCUUCAUUUACUACCGAUAAAAUUGGCCCAA
Zophobas morio is the source of this 526-nucleotide long non-coding RNA. RefSeq lists it as uncharacterized. Lineage: Eukaryota; Metazoa; Arthropoda; Insecta; Coleoptera; Tenebrionidae. The record is from RefSeq and is a predicted model, not a curated record. The transcript has 4 exons.